RNAcentral lists this long non-coding RNA (250 nucleotides) under Phoenix dactylifera (date palm). RNAcentral describes it as "long non-coding RNA (PDAC_LNC007391)". Lineage: Eukaryota; Viridiplantae; Streptophyta; Magnoliopsida; Arecales; Arecaceae. The record is from RNAcentral.
CACCCGAGAGAGGAGUGUGUGAGGACCUAUUCUGUUUAUACUAAUCUUUUGAUUGCAGCAUACAAAGAUGAGUAGUGGAGGUAGUGAACAACCAGAUGUUGAUAUGAAGUUAUGGAUGAAAGCCAUUGCUGAUCAACUUACUAAGCUUGGUGCACGAAUGGAUGAUUUCGAAUCACCAAGCAGAAUCAAACCUUUGAGGGGGCGGAUGUUUGAAGAUGAUGAAGAAGAUUUAGAUUAUGAAUCUAACUCU